CCGAGGUCUAUAGAUCUUAUCUGGUAUGCACCCUAUUCUUACAAUAAGUCUACUACAACCAACAUAUGCCUCAAGAUUUCGUAUGGCUAGAAGACCGAGUUAUAGUGUAGUCAAACAACAGCACCCUCAUUGUGAACAAUCGAGGCACCACAGAUCUAAGAACUAGUUACACUACCACAGCAUCGAGUUAGUCACUGAUGAAAAGGUAGACAUCUUAGUGACUACUCGUAUUUGGUCAUGCUCAGUAUCAUUUUUCCUACAAGCACUUGCACUCUCACUUCGAUAUCUUCAUACUAUAGAUUCAAGAUCCAUCUACCCUAAGCAAACAAUCGUGCACCAAUCUCUCUGGAUCUAGUGUUGUCCCAAUGAUGAUCCU
Molecule: long non-coding RNA, 376 nt
Filed under: Elaeis guineensis (African oil palm)
Lineage: Eukaryota; Viridiplantae; Streptophyta; Magnoliopsida; Arecales; Arecaceae
Description: long non-coding RNA (EGUI_LNC058530)
Source: RNAcentral